GAUGAACGCUGGCGGCGUGCCUAAUACAUGCAAGUCGAGCGAACAGACGAGGAGCUUGCUCCUCUGACGUUAGCGGCGGACGGGUGAGUAACACGUGGAUAACCUACCUAUCAGACUGGUAUAACUUCGGGAAACCGGAUCUAAUACCGGAUAAUAUAUUGAACCGCAGGGUUCAAUAGUGAAAGACGGUUUUGCUGGAUCUUAUAGAUGGAUCCGCGCCGCAUUAGCUAGUUGGGAAGGUAACGGCUUACCAAGGCAACGAUGCGUAGACGACCGGAGAGAGUGAUCGGCCACAUGAGAACUGGGACACGGUCCAGACUCCUACGGGAGGCAGCAGUAGGGUAUCGGACGCAAUGGGCGAAAGCAUGACGGAGCAACGGCGCGUGAGAGAUGAAGGCCUUCGGAUCGGAAAACUCUGUUAUUAGGGAAGAACAAAUGUGUAAGUAGACAUGCACGGCGUGACGGUACCUAAUCAGAAAGCCACGGCUAACUACGUG
RNAcentral lists this ribosomal RNA (497 nucleotides) under uncultured bacterium. RNAcentral's name for it is "partial 16S ribosomal RNA". It matches the Rfam family "Bacterial small subunit ribosomal RNA", at positions 28 to 507 of the family's 1533-position model. The record is from RNAcentral.